Antechinus flavipes (yellow-footed antechinus) is the source of this 280-nucleotide long non-coding RNA. RefSeq lists it as uncharacterized. The transcript is spliced from 3 exons. Lineage: Eukaryota; Metazoa; Chordata; Mammalia; Dasyuromorphia; Dasyuridae. The record is from RefSeq and is a predicted model, not a curated record.
UGUUGUAGGUUUCCUCAUCUCCACCAUUGGGUCCAGAUGAUGGGAAGUCCACAUCAAACCACUUGGUCCACGAGCACUGUGGCUGACAGCUGGGGGUAGAUGGGUGGGUAGAUGUGCUAGGAGUUGUGGUUGGUGUUGUGGAAACCGAAGUCGUUGGAGUUUGGGGUGAUGAUGGAGUUGAGGUGGUUGUGGUGGGCACAGAAUGGGAAGUUGUCUCGGGACUUGGCUUUGUAGUGACCGAUGUGGUUGUAGGAGUGGUUGGAGAUGUAGUAGUGGUGAU